This is a long non-coding RNA of Symphalangus syndactylus (siamang), 4032 nucleotides long. RefSeq lists it as uncharacterized. The record is from RefSeq and is a predicted model, not a curated record. NCBI's taxonomy places the organism in Eukaryota, Metazoa, Chordata, Mammalia, Primates, Hylobatidae.
UCUGCCCUGGUGCAGGCCAGAAGGGGGUUCAUCAUCUGUGGGGGGUUUUAAAACAAUAAUAAAACCAAGCACCAAUGAGGCUGCUCUUUAUGGUCACUGCACACUAGGAAUUCCCCACCACAUCAAUCAUGACACACUGUUUUCCCCCAAAAGCUUUUCUGAUGAGAGUUCUGAACAAGUGCUGCAGUUACCAAAGCUUCAGCGAUAGGUACAUGAGCUUCAGGUGAGCAUGUAGUCAUUACUGAUCCUUUAAUAAACACCGUGUCAGUUCAGAGAACUCCCAGCAAUACGGUCACCUCUGACACACAUGGACCGAGCUUCCACAGGCGCAUCGUGAGAGACGUUUGUCAGGGCCCUGGAUCAUUCAAGCUUGCUUCAGGCACUGCUGGGGUCCUCAGCCCUAUGGAGAUACACAUUCCUGUUCCUGAACGGAGGCAGCAGAUAUGAUCUAUGCAGCGACUACACAGUGAAGGUAAAGAUGAAGAAACACAUCAGAGUUCCUUCAGUGUGACCACUUGGAAUCUGCAUUUGUGUUUAUAAUUCCAGACAGUGACAUAGGGUUAGAACUGUGAGGUGUACCAUUUUUAUUAGCCUUGGUAUUUUGAUAACACCACUUAAGCCUCAGCUGUCUGGCCAGUUAAAUGAAACAAAUCAUAUGAAGCAAGCACAUGCUGAUUUGUAGGUCUGCCUUCUCACUGACCUGCUGUGGGGCAAGAAUUGGGUUCCAGCCCCUGAUCUGCACAGGAGUGCACAAGCAGUCUGCCACCCAGGCAGCUUCUGUGACUUCACAAUCAAAGACGUUUCUGAGGCUGAUGAUUAUUCCUUGACCUCAGCAUCCUCCUUCACAGUACCUACUGCAAGGGCAACUACUGCUGAGUACAGGAGCUGGGAGAGAUCUCGCAGGCAAAGAAGAGAGACAAGUGCAGUCCCAUGAGAUCCAGAAUGCUUGUGGUCUACCCCACAGUCAAUCAACACCAAUUCUGGUUUGGAAAUCAAUGCAUCUGCACUCUGAGUUGCAUUGGAUCCUGGUGGACCAGAGCUCUGCAGACUUUCCACUCUCCAGCCUGUGUGGAGAAGUUGUAAUACCAAAAAUGACAUUCUCCAAACUCCCUUGCAGCUAGAUUCUGGGCCUGAUUUUAUUUCAUUUCGACUAGGUGCCCGUGCUAGCCAUUUACAGGACAGAAGGGAGUGGGGGCUGUGCUUUGCCAUGUCUGCCGUUUCCUGGUGAAGUGAGUGGAGAGGUCCUGGUUUUCUGCAGCAGUUUUAGCAAGAGGUCCUGAUUUAUGGGCAGUGGCUCUGUGAGUGUCAAGAGCAGGACUUGCAGCAGCCAUUUUGCUUGUGAGCAAGUAGCAGACACUCAUAGUUCUGGGCCUCUUUUUGAUCCCUAGCUCCUAAGGUGAGGUAUUCCUGAGGCUUUGGUUGUGGCUGGUUUUCCAAUUUCCUAAUCAUAAUAGAGGUGGGUGAUCUGAGAGCCAGAGGAAGCCCAGCAUCCUUUUUCCCCACUCCAUUGUCUAACUUCUUGCUGGAAGCACUAUGGGUGGAGUCAUCCGGCAUGUCCACUAGGCUGCCUAGAGUAGCUCUUUGCACAGUGGAACACAAUCUUGAGUGCAUAAAUGAUGCAUCCAUCUGGAAGAUUCUUCAAAAGAGGUGCAUUUCUCAUGAGUCGCACUUCCCGAAUGACGUAGUGAAACUGAGCAUUUUUGUCUUGUUCCUGCGAGGCCUGGACCUGCUGCCCCAGAUGAAGCCCAGCCUCAGGGGUGAGGCUGCCCAACAAGCUCAGAGGGAGCCACAGCUUGAGUUGUCAUCGAUGUCGCUGUUGGCCCAGGGGUGAGUUGGUACCACCUAACACCCCUCAAGAGGAGACCCAGCCUCAUGCAUGAGAAUGGAGUAUUCCUGGGAGAUAGCAUCUCCCUGAACACAGACGGGAUCUGGCAGCGAGGACUGCAGUGCCUGACCCCUGUGAGCCAAUGCCUCCAGAACCUGAGACUUCAAGUCAUUGCCCAUCGGAGGGAUGGACUGAAUCACGUCUCAAAAUUCAACCAGAUUUCCAGCUGGAGGCCAGGGGAAUCUGGAAACAUUAAUUGCCUCCCCCAUUAAACAGAUGCAUUUGCUUUUGUAUUUAUUGAAUUAAUUUACAAAAUGCUGCUGUCUUGAGGCAAGCAUUCCCUGGAGCUUGCAAAUACCAGCUACUACCACGUAGUUAAUAUGCAUUCAACAGAAGCAGUAAUGUCAGGGUUACAUUAGCACCAACCAAACAAUACAAACAUCCAGAGUUUUGAAUUCUCCAACCUCCAAGACCUCUGUGAUUUACUGUCUUUUAGGGUUCCAUCUAGAUAGGGAAAUUGGAUUUCCUGUCAGAAGUUUCUGUGCAACACAUUCCUGAACUUCCUUGAAUGGUUUGACGUCUUUCUGAGGUUUCUGGCAUCAGUCCCUAGGGCCGACUGCUACCACCUUGAAUCCAAGGGGACUGUUUUGGAGGAGAGGAAGGGGGAACCUAGUUGCAUCUUCCUGGUAGUGGGACAAGUUAGUCCAAUGUGUUUUUCACAGUCUUCUAGAUGGGAGAAAUGCCUGUGGAGUCCAGCAUCCAGGUGUUUCUGAAAUUGUUCCCGUGAAUGAAGGCAUUUGCCUGCCUCUGCCAUCCCAAUCCUGCCUACCCACUCUUUCCUCUUCUGAUGAGAUCUUUCAGCAAAUCAAGGCUGGGGCUUGGCGAGUGACUUCCCAAGCAUCACCAGCUCUCUGUAUUUUGAAGUCUCUGUCCAUACUGCCUGCUUUGAAAGGAAGAGAAGCUGGGCAGUACCCAAGGAAUCUAGAAACAACAUUUUCCUCUGCUCCUGUGCUAUCUGGGUAAAACUGAUCAAACAACACAUUUUCUGAGGCUAGGUUUGCUUCGUUUCUUUCUUUUUUGUUGUUGUAAAAGUUUGGUGUGGUUUUUGUUCUGACUUACUUUUACACUUUUUUAUUAUUGACACAUAAUAACUAUAUAUACUUAUGGGGUACAAUGUAAUUUUUUUUUGACAAGGGGUCUCACUCUGUUGCCUAGGCUGGAGUGCAGUGGCACGAUCAUGGUUCACUGCAGCCACUACUUUCCAGGCUCAGGUUAUCCUCCCACCUCAGCCUCCUGAGUAGCUGGGACUAUAGGUGCAUGCCAUCAUUUGUAGCUAAUUUUCAUAUUUUUCACAGAAACGGGGUUUCACCAUGUUGCCCAGGCUGCUCUUGAACUCUUGGGCUCAAGCUAUCCACCUGCCUUGGUCUCCCAAAGUGCUGGGAUUACAAGCAUGAGCCAGCACACCAACCCUGAUGGUUUAGUACAUGUGUGUAUUGUAGAAUGAUUAAAUCAAGCACAUUAGGAUAUCUAUCAUCUCACAUACUUGUCAUUUUUCCUUGGUGAGAACAUUCAAUAUCUACUCUUUAAAAGCAAUUUUGAAAUAUAUAAUACACUAUUAUAACCAGAGUCACCAUGCUGUCCAAUAGAUCACGAAAAUGAUUCCUCCUAACUGAAACUUUGCACUCUCUGAUCAACAUCUCCUUUUCUCCAUCUCCUCUUCCUCAUUUGUUCCUUAAAUUAUUUGCUUUGGCCUGAAAAUACCCUUGGAAGCAUCGUGCCUCACACCAGCUAGUAGGAAUAAGUACAGGAAACUAUGUGACUGCCCCUCAGCAGUGGAAUGUAUAAUUGAGUCAUGGUCUGUUCCCACCAAGGAAUGACUACAAGAUGGUGAUAAGAAGCUGAUGAUCUACAAUGAUCUGAGGUAAUAUGUAUGAGAGUCUUGCAAAGUAAAUUGAGCCAAAGAAGCUGGAUAGAAUAGUACAAAUUGUACUAUUCCAUUUAUACAAGGUAUAAAAUCCAGUGGAACUAGGCUAUGCUGUCAGAACUCAGGAUAAUGCCGGGCCUAGUCAUGACCAGGAAGGGGUAUGUGGUGUGCUUCUAUGUGUAGUGUGGGUGACCCACUGUACUGCUUCAGAGGCUGGAUACGUGGACAUGUUCGGUUUGUGAAAAUUCAACAAACUGUACACUUAGGAAAGGUGCUGCAUUUA